RNAcentral lists this long non-coding RNA (5474 nucleotides) under Bos taurus (domestic cattle). Its description in RNAcentral is "long non-coding RNA NONBTAT028905". Lineage: Eukaryota; Metazoa; Chordata; Mammalia; Artiodactyla; Bovidae. The record is from RNAcentral.
AUUACAAAUUGAUACAUAAUGUAAAAGAAAUGAACAGGGUAAAAUGCCAGAGACUAUUUUGGUGAUGGGGGAGCAGGAAUGAGGAGGGCUCAGAGCUAUUAAUCUGACUGCACUGUCCCUCAGACCACCCCGGUACCCUGAGAGUGAAAUUGAAACAAAAUUAACAAAAGAAGUAUUAGUUAAAUGUAAGAAGUCACAUGAAGAAAGCAAAUACAGAAUUGCAUUUAAUAUUUACAUAACCAUCAUGUAGGUCCAAUGAUAUUAUAUGUGGUUAGCUGUGGUUAAAACAUCUUGGGAUUUUACGUCUAAAGUUAAUUUUCAUGGGUGUAUUCUAUUCAAAGUUCUUUUCAUCCUCUCAAAAUUUACAUGCUAUGUAAGUUGUUUUUGUGUUAGUUUAGUUCUUUUUGUUCUGUAUAUUGUAAAAUUCAAGUGUGUUCACUUUUGAAAGAGUUGUAUUUUACUUAGCAGAGAAAAUAAAAUGUCCAUUUACCCCAGAAAAAGGAUAAUAUUUUCUAAUUUUGAAAACAAUUUAUGAAAAGUAUCAUUUGACUCCUUAUUUUUACAGCUGCUUAGCAUUUAUUAUUGGAGAGGCCCUUCAUACAGUAUGAUCCUUUCAUUUCUAGUCAAGGGGUGUUAUUAUUUUGGAAUAUUAUUUUGGAAUCAUUCAAAUUUAAGAGAGUGAUAAAGGGCCUCUCUUCAGGGGUUCUUACUAACCAGAUCCCUAAGUUCUUACUCCUUUAAGGAAAAGUAAAAUGUUUCUGAGAAAAAAGGAAGGAAAGGGAAAAGGUUUCAGACUAUGAGCUUCUUGAUUUGGGAAUCAGAACUAUCCAGUGUGGGGUCUUCAAGCCCUUGCGUCUUGUCUGGCGUCUCGCAGGUGCUCAGGAAGUGGCUAUUGAGUUGAAUGGUUUCCGGACUGUCAGAGGAUGACUAUCCCCUCACAGACAGGGAAACCAGGGCUCAAAGUGCGUUUGUAUUGUGCUUUGCACUUUACCAAGGCCUCUCACCCAAGUUAGCUCAUUUAAAAGUUGGUCCUCACCAUCAUUAUAUGUAAAGUAGGAAAGGCCAAUACUUGCAAGUAAAAAGAUGACCGUAAUGAUGUGCUUGACACACAGUGAAUUGGCCACUGCUAGACUCCCCCCACAUAAAGCGAGUCAGCCUCUGCUGCCAAGGGCAGCUAAAACCCAAUGAUGGAGAAAUUCUGGUCCUUAAACAAUGAUGGAAAGAAGAUCACUCUUCUAAGGACAAAAACAAUCAGAAAUGGUAUUGGCAAUCUUUGGACUAAAAAAAGUGUCCUAUAACACAUAGAAGAAAAGCUCUCACACAUUAGUGCUGGCAGUCCUAUUUUUACACAGGAAAAUUUGUGAAUAUUUAUCAAAAUUAAAGUGAUUGCUGAUUUGCUACAUCACGACCUUGAUGUAGUGAUUUACUUUUUAAAAUUAAUUCAUUUUAAUUUUUGGCUGUGCUGGGUCUCUGUUGCUGCACACGGUCUCUCUAGUUGCAGCAAGUGGGGGCCACACUUCGCUGCGGUGUGGGGCUUCUCACUGCGGUGGUUUCUCUUGCUGGGGAGCAUGGGCUCAAUAAAGGCGGUGUGCAGGCUUAGUGGCCCCGAGCCAUGCGGAAUCUUCUCGGACCUGGGAUUGAACUCCCGUCCCCUGCAUUGGCAGAUUCCUAACCACUGGACCACCAGGGAAGUCUGCAAUUUACUUUUAAGGAUGUAUUCUCGCUAUAGACAUACUGGCACAAGAGUGCAUAGAUAUAUGAGGAAAAGGAUUUAAUGAACGUGAGAAUGUUCACUGGGACAUUGUUAGUAACAAAAGACUUUUUUUAAACACUUAUAUGUAUUGUAUGUCAAUUAGAUUUCAAUAAAACUGGAGAAAAAAAGAAUCAUGGAGGACAUAACACAUGCAUAAAUUCUAAGGACAGGGAGAAUAAAAAACAGCCCCUCCCAAGAACUCACAAACUAUCAAAUGAGAACAAUAAAUAAAUCCUGUACAACAUGAUAAACACUAGCAUAAAGUCAAACACAAGGACAAUAAGGAUCAUAAAGGAAAAUCGACUAUACUUCAAUAAAAUUAAAAAAUUUUUAAAAAUGGAGCAUAAAGGAAAUUUUUAACCUGGCUCAGAGGAAAGGAGGGGGGGUGGUUCAUGGACAGAGUAGAUUGUAUUUUAUAGUACAUAUGACCUUUUAAUAAACUCUGAUGUCUCUAAUGUCUUGAAAUGAUAAAAUUAAGAGCAAUUAUAUUAUCUAGAUCAGUACAAUAUCAGAAUAUGACUUAAAUUAACCUAAGAGUUCAUCAAUAGAUUGUUGGCUACAGAAAUUAGGAGUUAUCUGGGUAGUGAUAUUUUAUAGAGACAUUUGAAAUAUAACAUUAAUCUGUGUAUCACUGUGAAAAUAACUACAAUAUAUUAAUUCAAAGAUACGUAACAGUAUAACUUCCUUUCAGUAAAAAUACCCAUCGAAGUAUCAGUGAUGGCUCCCUGGAGAAAGUGAGAUUUUUUUUUAACUUCAUUCAAAUCCCUACUACUUCAUUUUUUAAAAAUGGAAAUAGAUUACUUUAAAAAUCAAAAUGAAAGAAAAGCUAUUCAAUUCUGACUACCCGACAAGCUUUCCACGUUUUAAGCAGCAGUAAGUAGACCCCAGGAAGUGGUUGGCCAUUGCCCUACUGCACCCCAGUGCCUAGCACCCUGCUUGGCAUGGUGGUGAUGCUUGGUCAAUAAGCCAGCUCACUCUUUAGUAAAGUGAGGUGGAAGCACAGAAGAACACUGAGCUUUUUUAAUCCUAAAAUCUGAGUCAGUCAGUCAAAGGAGAAGAAUUUGAAAGAUGGACUAUAUAAAUGUCGACUCAUUCCAAAUUAACUGUGGGGCUCUUCCUGUGUUGAAUAAGGAUUCUUAAUGAGUCCCUGCCAUAUGUUUCUUUGAGCGUCUCUUGGGGCAUUUAUCUGUUGGUUUAGAGGUCAGAGAGGCAUACGGAGGAAGAGAUCUCAGACAGUGCUCAGGUGGUCCAGGCAGAGAACCCUGAGCCUCCUCGGCAAUGGUCUCAUAAUAAGGAGUUAGACUGAUGGAACUCUUCCUGGGACAUAGCUUCCAUUUUCUCCUGGGGAAUUCUGUCCUGAUGCAUCCUAACUACCAGAAAGCUCCUUAUCGAACGGAGCUAGAAUCUGUUUCUUCGUAAAACUGACCCAUGGAUCCCAGCUCUGCCCUCCAGUGUCACAUACAAUGGCUCUAAGUGGUGCAGUGGUUUACCAGAACAGCCCUGGGAAACCUGCCUUCUGACCCAGCUUCCACUCUUGGGUGCUGUGUGGACCCUGAUGCAAAGACUAGCAAUUCUCUCUAACUGUAAACUUCUUUACAAAAUGGGGAUGAUCAUAGAUAAUUUCUACCUCAUGGGGCUGUUUUAAGAAGAUAAUGAAAUAAUAUAUGCAAAUUGCCAUCACAAACAUAUGGCACAAUAAGUUCAAUAAGUAAUACUCAAUUUUAUUUUUAGAUAUUAUUUAUUUUUUGGCUGUGUCCUGUGUGCCAUGUGGGAUCUUAGUUCCCUGACCAGGGAUCAAACCUGUGCCCUCUGCAGUGGGAGCUCAGAGUCUUAACCACUGGACUGCCAGGGAAGUCCCUGAUAUUACAAUUUUCAUAGGCCUUUUCCAUUAGGUGUUCAAUUAGGAGUCAGUGAGGAAAGUGCCACCAAACAGCAAAGUCAAUGUAUGAGGCCUCCGCCAGUGAAAUGUGCCCUGAGAACCUUGAUGCCAAGUGAUUCGAGCGUCUCCUGUGUUUUCCUCACUGGAAACUAAUUAGAAAAACACUCCCAGGAAGGGGAGGGACAUUUUGUACCAUUAAUUCGGCAACAACAAAUACUGUGUACUUUCAUGAUUAUAGAUACUAACGUAUAAAAGUAACUUGGGGUGUUUGAGAACCUCACUCAUCUCUAGGGGAUGUAAGGAAAGAGCUCCCUCGGGGCCUUCUCUCAAAACGUGUCUCCCUGCAGCUUCCCAAUAUUCAAAGAGCUGUCAGGGGAAACUCAGGUCUUCUGCAGCCCUUCUGAAACUUUUCUCAGGGCUAAUGACUACCUAUCACCCUGGAUUUGACUUAUGUUAUCAUUCAAGACAGAAUUAUAAACCCUACAUACAUUCAGGGAUGUGUGAGUAUAAUGUACACAUGUAUUUAGAGCAUAGGUCUAUAUAACAUACCACAUGAAGGGUAGCAGACUUGGAGACUCAGGAUCUAGUUCUAAGUUUGAUUUACUAUGUGAACUCUUAAGAUCUCAGUUUACUCAUUUACAAAAUGGUUAUAAUCGAUAAUUCUGCCAGUGUAUAUCCUAAGGAGUUUUAGGUUUGCUGUUUUAAUUGAGCUCCAAGCCUCUAUCUUUUAAGUAAGACAGUAAUAUUUAAAAAAAAAAAAUCCAUUACAAGUAUUGAGAUUCUACAUAAGAACUCAUUUGCAAAAUGAGUCUUUUUCACCAAAAGAUGUUUAAUAAUUCUUGCUGACUUUCCUCCUAAGUAUAUUACCUAACAAUAUUAACAAUGUUGGGUAAGGAUAAGCCCCUUUUUAUUAUUCAGUUGGUACUCAAUGCCCAGAGCAUUUAAAAUGACUUCCUCCCAACUCCAUUCCUUCCCCCAUCCUCAUUUCCCAGCUCCAGCUUUAAAUCAUUAAACGGAGAGAAAAUCUUUAGCACUGCAAGUCAAUGGCUCAUUCCUUCCAGAAACUCUCCUUACAAUAAAAUGAAAAUGAGAUCAAAAGCAUAAUCAGUCUGGAGGCCGAUGGAUGUCUCUUUCGACACAGAUUCUGGAUGCCCCUCUAUUCUCUGUUCAUUGGCCCCUCUCAAACCCCCUUUCCAGCAAGCAUAACCCAAGCUGGGCAAAUCCCUGAUGGGAGCCAGUCACUUUACUUUAGAAAAAUGUGAGCUGUUGAAAAGAAGCCAUUUGUAACAGCAUCACAAAGCCCUGCCUCUGCCAGUUGAGUGUGUUGGGGAAGGGCUUAUAAAGAAGCGUGGACCGGUUGGGAGCCACGUUUAAAUGCAGACGUGUCCCCUGAGUCUCUGUGGCUCCUGGGGUGCACAGCGGUGAAGUUCAGCUGUAUCAACAGAGCCCCACGGCCCUGUGUGUCGGGCGAAGGGGCCUGGGUGUGGAACUGGAAGACAAUGGUGUGAGCCUCAGCUCCAGGAGAGGGGCUUCGAUUCUCUGAACGCUAUUUUCCUAAUUAUAAAAUACCCACUGGAGCUGCCUCACAGGCACAUUGUAUGCUUUACAUAAGACAGGGUCUGAAAAGCAUUUUGUAAAUUAGAAAGCAUCCUCAAGAUAUAAGCUGUAUCCAGUGGCUUGUGAGAUAGUUGUCUAAAUGUGAUCCAUAAGAACUCCCCAAAGCUUGCUUAAAUCACCUUCCUAUGAUAUGCGUAUAAAAGAUUAGUGAAUUAUCAAAUAAAUGAAGUGUUUCACUAUGUUCACAUAAUUUUUCAAAGUCUUAAUUAUAAAAACCACUGUCUG